This 338-nucleotide long non-coding RNA is filed under the name Equus caballus (horse). RNAcentral describes it as "lncRNA (ENSECAG00000058552.1)". Lineage: Eukaryota; Metazoa; Chordata; Mammalia; Perissodactyla; Equidae. The record is from RNAcentral.
GUCCAUCAUCUGAAGGCGGGACCAAUGGGAAGGUUUACAAAGUGUCAAUCACCUGAAGGCGGGACCAAGGGAAGGUUGACAAAGUGUCAAUCACCCGAGGGCGGGACCAAUGGGAACGUUUACAAAGUGUCAAUCACCUGAAGGCGGGACCAAUGGGAACGUUUACAAGGUGUCAAUCACCUGAAGGCGGGACCAAUGGGAACGUUGACAAGGUGACAAUCACCUGAAGGCGGGACCAAUGGGAUCGUUUACAAGGUGUCAAUCACCUGAAGGCCGGACCAAUGGGAACGUUGACAAGGUGUCAAUCACCUGAAGGCGGGACCAAUGGGAAAGUUUAC